Molecule: microRNA precursor, 69 nt
Filed under: Camelus bactrianus (Bactrian camel)
Lineage: Eukaryota; Metazoa; Chordata; Mammalia; Artiodactyla; Camelidae
Also listed under: 1 other name
Description: mir-302 microRNA precursor family
Rfam family: mir-302 microRNA precursor family
Source: Rfam by way of RNAcentral
CCACCACUUAAACAUGGAUGUACUUGCUUUGAAACUGAAAAAGAAAGUGCUUCCCAGUUUCUGUGAUGG